GAUUUGAGACUGAUCUGCCAUUCUCCUUGGCUGCAGCACUUGAAUAAAGCCUUCUUUUCUGGCAGUACUCACCGUCCCAGUGAUCAGCUUUCUGUGUGGUGAGCACAGUACCUGGACCAAACUCCUAGCAUUUCAAAAAAAACAAGCUACUCUUAUGGCCGUCAUUAGCAUCAUUAUCAACAACAAAACAAUAAGGACAAUAAACAGGAACUGGACACCUCUGCAAUUCUUGAGGGAAUCAACCAUAUUAAAGAAG
This is a long non-coding RNA of Sapajus apella (tufted capuchin), 256 nucleotides long. RefSeq lists it as uncharacterized. The transcript has 2 exons. The record is from RefSeq and is a predicted model, not a curated record. Lineage: Eukaryota; Metazoa; Chordata; Mammalia; Primates; Cebidae.